GGUUGAUCCUGCCAGUAGUCAUAUGCUUGUCUCAAAGAUUAAGCCAUGCAAGUCUAAGUACGACUCUCGUAUAGUGAAUCUGCGAAUGGCUCAUUACAUCGGUCAUAAUUUCCUGGACGAGUUAACCAUACUUGGAUAACUGUGCCAAUUGUAGAGCUAAUACAUGCAACAUACUGUCUCUUCGGAGACGGUGCUUUUAUUAGAUCAAACGCCGAUGGCAUUCGUGUCUCGAGCGGCGAAUCGUGAUAACUCUAGCAUAUCGCACGGUUUCACACCGGCGAAGCGUCCUCCAAGUGACUGCCUUAUCAGCUGUCGAUGGUAGUGUAUUGGACUACCAGGCAUUAACGGGUNACGGGGAAUUAGGGUUCGAUUCCGGAGAGGGAGCCUGAGAAACGGCUACCACAUCUAAGGAAGGCAGCAGGCACGCAAAUUACCCAUUCCCGACUCGGGGAGGUAGUGACGAAAAAUAACGAUACGUGGUACUCAUUCGAGAACCCGUAAUUGGAAUGAGUACAAUUUAAAUCCUUUAACGAGGAUCUAUUGGAGGGCAAGUCUGGUGCCAGCAGCCGCGGUAAUUCCAGCUCCAAUAGCGUAUAUUAAAGUUGUUGCAGUUAAAAAGCUCGUAGUUGGAUCUUGGAUACGGGUAUCGCGGUCUGAGCAGUGUCUCUGUACUGCGAUUGCCCUGUCUGUAUUUUCGGAGGCCCGGCGGUGUCCUUCACUGGGGUGUCGUCGGGUGCCGAAGCGUUUUACUUUGAAAAAAUUAGAGUGUUCAAAGCAGACACGUACGUCCGCAUAAUUUUGCAUGGAAUAAUGGAAUAAGAGUUGGACUUAUUUUUGUUGGUGUUUUAGAGUCUAACUAAUGAUUAACAGGGAUAGACGGGGGCAUCGGUACCUCGUAGGGAGAGGUGAAAUUCUUUGAUCUACGGGAGACCAACUACUGCGAAAGCAUUUGCCAAGAAUGUUUUCAUUAAUCAGGAACGAAAGUCGGAGGUUCGAAGGCGAUCAGAUACCGCCCUAGUUCCGACCAUAAACGAUGUCGACUAGCGAUCUGCCGGCGUUAAUUAUAAGACUCGGCAGGAAGCUUCCGGGAAACCAAAGUCGGAUUCCGGGGAUAGUAUGGUUGCAAUAUCGAAAUUUAAAGGAAUUGACGGAAGGGCACCACCAGGAGUGGAGCCUGCGGCUUAAUUUGACUCAACACGGGAAACCUCACCAGGCCCAGACACGGGAAGGAUUGACAGAUUGAGAGCUCUUUCUUGAUUUCGUGGGUGGUGGUGCAUGGCCGUUCUUAGUUGGUGGAGCGAUUUGUCUGGUUAAUUCCGAUAACGAACGAGACUCAGUCCUACUAUUUAGAAUUGCCACCCUUUCGGGGUGGCCGUUCCUUCUUAGAGGGACUAG
RNAcentral lists this ribosomal RNA (1395 nucleotides) under Facetotecta sp. RNAcentral describes it as "SSU rRNA". It matches the Rfam family "Eukaryotic small subunit ribosomal RNA", at positions 6 to 1423 of the family's 1831-position model. The record is from RNAcentral. Lineage: Eukaryota; Metazoa; Arthropoda; Thecostraca.